UCUCUCUCCUCUUUGCUCUCUCUUCCUCCUCCGACUCCUUCCGAUCUAGCGAUUCCUCCGACGACCGUCGCUCCCUCCCGACGAAGGCCUUUCUCUCUCCACUCGACGGCCUCUUCUCAAGGCUCCAUUCUCUCGGCGCACUUCUUCCUAAAUCGCGCUCUCUCCCGACGGCUGAUUUCGCUCGCCUCUCUCCGUCCCCCGACUUGCAACCGAGAAGCAAUCGCUCCGCCCUGCUCGAAGCAGUCGCUCGAGAAGCCCUAAAUCUGCGAGUCAGCGCAGCAACGCGAGAAGUGAAACUGCGACUAUCUCUCUCUCUACCCUUGUCCGGUUUUUCCAUUCUUGGCAAAUUCGAAGAUGAGCCCACUUCUGGAUACAUGAUCUUAGGCCGACCCAUCAAGUCGAAGCCCGGCGUAAUCUCGCUGCUUCGCUCCACCAAGCUGUUGAAUCGCUUGUGUCUAGGGGGUUUCAAGAUUUUCCGGGGGGGCAAUCGCCUGUUCCGUCAUUGCAGACUUCCAGGCGAGAAGAAAUGUGCCCACAAUAAUCACCCCAACACCGAACCGCCUCCUUUGUCCUCUCUCACGAUACAAUUGCAACAUCACAUAGUAUCUAUUGAAUACUACAACUACAGCAAUAAAUGAUGUUGCCGAGAAUUACUUGCAACUGUCUUGAGUUUGAGAUAAUGUCUUAUAGAUUAUCAUUACAAUGGUGAAACAGUACCCAAAAAGAAAAAGGAGUGAGCAAGUUUUCAACAAUACAAGUCCCAAAAUUUAAUGGUGUUGCUUAAUUAGGUCGGUUGGAUACAGAACCACCUUACUCGAGCUUUUGAAUUCUUUGACAAGAAUUGAAGCGGAUAUAUUGAAUUCGAUGAGUUGAAAGAAGCUUUGAUAGAUGACAAUCUUGGUCCGAACAACGAAAAAUUUAUUGAAGACAUCAUUUUCGAUGCUGAUCUAGAUAAGGACGGUUGAAUCAGUUAUGAUGAAUUCAAGGCCAUGAUGAAAACGGUCAUGGACUGGAAAAUGGCUUCAAGCCAGUAGUUGAGAACGAUGCUGAACGCGCUUAGCCAGAAGAUGUUCAAAGACAAACUUUCUUAUCUCAGAGGCUAAAAGAUGUUCCACCCAUGGCUUCUUAAUCUGAUCCAGAUGAACCAUGGAGAAACAAAAUCGAAGUCUCAUCAAAAGGGUAUUUGGGAAGGAGGCAUUAUACAAAAUCAUUGCAUUGGUUUGCUACUGCAGGGACAUAAAUGCUGUGGUUAUAUUAUUUAGCAUGUGCCGUUUCUCUGUAAUUAGAGCUGCCUUUUGUUCAUGCUAGACUUUUGAACAACUGCUUUUGCCUUUCCUAUAUGAACUACAGAUCCUGAUUGACCUAAGAAUGACAAGGCAACCAUUCUUACAAACAAAAUCCAGGUGCUGAAGGAUUUAACUACAGAAGUUAACAAAUUGAAAGCUGAAUGUGCAGCUCUUAUUGAAGAAUCUCGUGAGCUGAUGCAGGAGAAGAAUGAGCUCAGAGAAGAGAAAUCAUCUUUAAAAUCUGAAGUUGAAAAUCUUAAUGUCCAGUACCAGCAAAGGACGAGGGUUAUGUACCCUUGGGCUGCCAUGGAUCGAUCCGUCGUCAUGGGUCUAGCCUACUCAUAUCCAGUUCCAAUACCCGUCACUCCAGGUCCAAUACCCAUGCUCUCACAACUUCAGCCUUUCCCUUUCUUUGGAAAUCAGAAUGCAAGUGCUAUUCCUGCUCCGUGUUCUACCUUUAUCCCAAAUUCAAUGCCUGCCAAUCCCACAUUUGAACAGCAGUCAACCCAAUAUGCUUCCACUUCUCACGUGUCAAAU
Eucalyptus grandis is the source of this 1823-nucleotide long non-coding RNA. RefSeq lists it as uncharacterized. The transcript is spliced from 5 exons. The record is from RefSeq and is a predicted model, not a curated record. NCBI's taxonomy places the organism in Eukaryota, Viridiplantae, Streptophyta, Magnoliopsida, Myrtales, Myrtaceae.